AGAUUGAACGCUGGCGGCAUGCUUUACACAUGCAAGUCGAACGGUAACAGGCCGCAAGGUGCUGACGAGUGGCGAACGGGUGAGUAAUGCAUCGGAACGUGCCCAGUCGUGGGGGAUAACGCAGCGAAAGCUGUGCUAAUACCGCAUACGAUCUAUGGAUGAAAGCGGGGGACCAAAGGCCUCGCGCGAUUGGAGCGGCCGAUGUCAGAUUAGCUAGUGGUGGGUAAAGCCACCGAAGGCGACGAUCUGUAGCUGGUCUGAGAGGACGACCAGCCGACACUAGGAACUGAGACGACGUCAGACUCCUAGGGACGCAGUCAGUGGGAAUUUUGGACAAGUGGG
Molecule: ribosomal RNA, 342 nt
Filed under: uncultured soil bacterium
Lineage: Bacteria
Description: bacterial SSU rRNA
Rfam family: Bacterial small subunit ribosomal RNA
Source: RNAcentral